Molecule: RNase P RNA, 411 nt
Filed under: Acetobacteraceae bacterium
Lineage: Bacteria; Pseudomonadati; Pseudomonadota; Alphaproteobacteria; Acetobacterales; Acetobacteraceae
Description: RNase P RNA component class A
Rfam family: Bacterial RNase P class A
About the family: Ribonuclease P (RNase P) is a ubiquitous endoribonuclease, found in archaea, bacteria and eukarya as well as chloroplasts and mitochondria. Its best characterised activity is the generation of mature 5'-ends of tRNAs by cleaving the 5'-leader elements of precursor-tRNAs. Cellular RNase Ps are ribonucleoproteins.
Source: RNAcentral
CCAGGUGGCCGGACGGCCGCUGGUCCUGCCGCAGGGCGGGGCUGGAGGAAAGUCCGGGCUCCACAGGAAGACGGUGCCGGCUAACGGCCGGCGGGGGCGACCCCAGGGAAAGUGCCACAGAGAGCAGACCGCCCGGACGCCGCAGGGCCUCCGGGCAAGGGUGAAAGGGUGCGGUAAGGGCGCACCGCGCCUCCGGCAACGGGGGCGGCAUGGCAAACCCCACCGGGAGCAAGGCCGAAUAGGGGCGGCCGGCGGCACCCGUCGCAAGACGGGUGGACGCGAGGGGCUUCCUGCCCUGCCGCCCGGGUUGGCCGCGCGAGGCGCGCCGUGAGGCGUGUCCCAGAGGAAUGGCCGUCCCAUCCCCGUUUUUCAGGGGGUGGACAGAACCCGGCUUACAGGCCGCCUGGCGCA